RNAcentral lists this unclassified non-coding RNA (141 nucleotides) under uncultured Ascomycota. RNAcentral's name for it is "sequence contains ITS1". The record is from RNAcentral. Lineage: Eukaryota; Fungi; Ascomycota.
CCUAGAGUUGCGGGCUUUGCCUGCCAUCUCUUACCCAUGUCUUUUGAGUACCUUACGUUUCCUCGGCGGGUCCGCCCGCCGGUUGGACAACACUUAAACCCUUUGUAGUUGCAAUCAGCGUCUGAAAAACUUUAAUAGUUA